RNAcentral lists this ribosomal RNA (274 nucleotides) under uncultured bacterium. RNAcentral's name for it is "partial 16S ribosomal RNA". It matches the Rfam family "Bacterial small subunit ribosomal RNA", at positions 523 to 796 of the family's 1533-position model. The record is from RNAcentral.
AUACGAGGGGUCCAAGCGUUGUUCGGAAUUACUGGGCGUAAAGCGGGUGUAGGCGGCUCGGUUAGUCGGAUGUGAAAGCCCAGGGCUCAACCCUGGAAGUGCAUCCGAUACUACCGAGCUUGAGUACGGGAGAGGGAAGUAGAAUUUCAGGUGUAGUGGUGAAAUACGUAGAUAUCUGAAGGAAUACCGGUUGCGAAGGCGGCUUCCUGGCCCAGUACUGACGCUCAGACCCGAAAGCGUGGGGAGCAAACAGGAUUAGAAACCCUAGUAGUCC